This 1335-nucleotide ribosomal RNA is filed under the name uncultured bacterium. RNAcentral describes it as "bacterial SSU rRNA". It matches the Rfam family "Bacterial small subunit ribosomal RNA", at positions 28 to 1381 of the family's 1533-position model. The record is from RNAcentral.
GACGAACGCUGGCGGCGUGCUUAACACAUGCAAGUCGAACGGUAAGGCCCUUCGGGGUACACGAGUGGCGAACGGGUGAGUAACACGUGGGUAAUCUGCCCUGCACUUCGGGAUAAGCCUGGGAAACUGGGUCUAAUACCGGGUAUUCAGUUCCUGCCGCAUGGUGGGGGUUGGAAAGUUUUUCGGUGCAGGAUGAGCCCGCGGCCUAUCAGCUUGUUGGUGGGGUAAUGGCCUACCAAGGCGACGACGGGUAGCCGGCCUGAGAGGGUGAUCGGCCACACUGGACUGAGACACGGCCCAGACUCCUACGGGAGGCAGCAGUGGGGAAUAUUGCACAAUGGGCGAAAGCCUGAUGCAGCGACGCCGCGUGGGGGAUGACGGUCUUCGGAUUGUAAACCCCUUUCAGUAGGGACGAAGCGCGAGUGACGGUACCUGCAGAAGAAGCACCGGCCAACUACGUGCCAGCAGCCGCGGUAAUACGUAGGGUGCGAGCGUUGUCCGGAAUUACUGGGCGUAAAGAGCUCGUAGGCGGUUUGUCGCGUCGUCCGUGAAAACUCGGAGCUUAACUCCGAGCUUGCGGGCGAUACGGGCAGACUUGAGUACUACAGGGGAGACUGGAAUUCCUGGUGUAGCGGUGAAAUGCGCAGAUAUCAGGAGGAACACCGGUGGCGAAGGCGGGUCUCUGGGUAGUAACUGACGCUGAGGAGCGAAAGCAUGGGUAGCGAACAGGAUUAGAUACCCUGGUAGUCCAUGCCGUAAACGGUGGGCGCUAGGUGUGGGGUCCUUCCACGGAUUCCGUGCCGUAGCUAACGCAUUAAGCGCCCCGCCUGGGGAGUACGGCCGCAAGGCUAAAACUCAAAGGAAUUGACGGGGGCCCGCACAAGCGGCGGAGCAUGUGGAUUAAUUCGAUGCAACGCGAAGAACCUUACCUAGGCUUGACAUAUACAGGACGACGGCAGAGAUGUCGUUUCCCUUGUGGCUUGUAUACAGGUGGUGCAUGGUUGUCGUCAGCUCGUGUCGUGAGAUGUUGGGUUAAGUCCCGCAACGAGCGCAACCCCUGUCUCAUGUUGCCAGCACGUUAUGGUGGGGACUCGUGAGAGACUGCCGGGGUCAACUCGGAGGAAGGUGGGGAUGACGUCAAAUCAUCAUGCCCCUUAUGUCUAGGGCUUCACACAUGCUACAAUGGCUAGUACAGAGGGCUGCGAUACCGUGAGGUGGAGCGAAUCCCUUAAAGCUGGUCUCAGUUCGGAUUGGGGUCUGCAACUCGACCCCAUGAAGUCGGAGUCGCUAGUAAUCGCAGAUCAGCAACGCUGCGGUGAAUACGUUCCCGGGCCU